This 442-nucleotide ribosomal RNA is filed under the name uncultured bacterium. RNAcentral describes it as "partial 16S ribosomal RNA". It matches the Rfam family "Bacterial small subunit ribosomal RNA", at positions 339 to 795 of the family's 1533-position model. The record is from RNAcentral.
CUACGGGGGGCUCCAGUGGGGAAUAUUGCACAAUGGGGGAAACCCUGAUGCAGCGACGCCGCGUGAAGGAAGAAGGCCUUCGGGUUGUAAACUUCUUUGAUUGGGGACGAAUAAAAUGACGGUACCCAAAGAACAAGCCACGGCUAACUACGUGCCAGCAGCCGCGAUAAUACGUAGGUGGCAAGCGUUGUCCGGAAUUACUGGGUGUAAAGGGCGUGUAGGCGGGUAUGCAAGUCAGAUGUGAAAUUCCACGGCUUAACUGUGGGCGUGCAUCUGAAACUGUAUAUCUUGAGUGCUGGAGAGGAAAGCGGAAUUCCUAGUGUAGCGGUGAAAUGCGUAGAUAUUAGGAGGAACACCAGUGGCGAAGGCGGCUUUCUGGACAGUAACUGACGCUGAGGCGCGAAAGCGUGGGGAGCAAACAGGAUUAGAUACCCCAGUAGUC